UACGUAGGUGGCAAGCGUUAUCCGGAUUUACUGGGUGUAAAGGGCGUGUAGGCGGGAAAGCAAGUCAGAUGUGAAAACCGCGGGCUCAACCUGUGGCCUGCAUUUGAAACUGUUUUUCUUGAGUACUGGAGAGGCAGACGGAAUUCCUCGUGUAGCGGUGAAAUGCGUAGAUAUGAGGAGGAACACCAGUGGCGAAGGCGGUCUGCUGGACAGCAACUGACGCUGAGGCGCGAAAGCGUGGGGAGCAAACAGG
RNAcentral lists this ribosomal RNA (253 nucleotides) under uncultured bacterium. RNAcentral describes it as "partial 16S ribosomal RNA". It matches the Rfam family "Bacterial small subunit ribosomal RNA", at positions 524 to 776 of the family's 1533-position model. The record is from RNAcentral.